Molecule: long non-coding RNA, 2233 nt
Filed under: Canis lupus familiaris (dog)
Lineage: Eukaryota; Metazoa; Chordata; Mammalia; Carnivora; Canidae
Description: lncRNA (ENSCAFG00040015823.1)
Source: RNAcentral
UCAGAGACUUUUCAGCGCUGCUGGGGCCCCCGUGUCAUCCCGCAGCAGCGCCUGCUUCCUAAGAAGCUGGCUCCUCUGCCGUUCCAAGAGGACAACUUGAAUACUGUUCUGGCAGCUUCGCAGCCCCAUUCACUCUCUCCCUGUGGCUGGAGAAACUUUUUGAAAGUGCUAGGAGCACGGUUUGGAAUCUUUGUCCAGAACGACUUUGAGGAAAGCUGCUGUGAAAGUUGGGUCUGGCUUCUUUGGCGAGCUCUGCUGAAGAGCCAGAUGCCCUUUUCGCGUGCGACACAGGCAUAUGGGGAACACGGCUCCAAGGACAAUGUCCAAGGCACGACAGCGCAGAUGCACCCGCAGCUUCUUCACCAACAGAGCUUCAGUCCUGGUAAUGUGAACGACAGGGAUUCAGAGGAAUCCUUUCUGCUUCCAGCCCCAGUAACAAUACCCGUACUACAAUCGGUACUUCGCCGUGUAAGCAGCAUGACCCCUAGUGGGUACCAGUGGUAAGUAUCUAGAUAUUAAUACCCAUGCAAAUACAAUGGUGUAUUUUUAAUAGGUGGAUAGAAAAAUAAGUCAAGAUGUUGUAAUUUCAGCUAUAUUAAUUAAGGAGGUCACUAUGAAACAAGAAACAACAGGCAAGUAGCAAAAUGUAAGAUAUAUUUCAUGCAUUUAAAUGAUUAAUAGAAUUUUUAACAUUAAAUAUAUUAGUACACUACAUUAGAAUAUAAUAUCCAGGAACGAAUUCUAAAGUAGGUUUUUAUAUUUUCUUUCAUUUACCACCUUUGGCUUCCAUAACCCUUAAUUAAAUUCUCUCAAUCUUUGACAACAUAUCUUCAACAAAGAUAGCUUGCACUAGAGUGCUUUCAAGAAAGGAUUAAAAAUGGUAAGGUUGGGACAUUUUCAGUUUGUCUAGAUAAAAUACUCUCAUGAAUCCAUCAUUUUAAAAUAUCCCAAUCCACACUCAAUGUUACUUGUAAUUUCACUGAUGUUUAAUUUAUUUUACUGCAUUAUUACAGUUUAAUUAAACAGCAGACAGGAGCUUCACUGGGAUCGCUCCUUCCUUCUACCCAGCAAUGUUCAGGUCUUGUACCUUGAAGCCAAACAACAAAAGAGAUAGUCAAAGGAAGACUGUUUUAUGUUUCAUUUCAAUAACUGGGUCAUAUUCAUUUCCUUUUUACUACCGACAGACGAUCUAUAGUAGUCCCCUCUCCCAACUUUCUUUAAAAAAAAAAAAAAAGUAAAUAGUAAUUCUUAUUAACGGCAGUGGCACCUGCACGGGGGUGGGCAAAUCUGGUCACCAGCCGGUCCCCCUGCUGUUUUACUCAGCUGGCAACAUGCUCUCGACCCUGGCAGCUGCUCCUGCUUUGUUUUUCCUUCCAGGCAAAUAGGAACUUCAUGAAUGUUUAGAAAUUCUUUUUUUCCUGAACCAAAACUUUGGUUUCAGAAAGUAACAAUGAAAUUGACAACAGAUGAUAAACUUUUAUGUAUGUGUUUAAUUACCUAAGAAAUACACGAAUACAAUCCUAUAAAAAAUUUAACACAGAAACGUCUAAAUGGUAAACACCCUUUUCAUCCUCCUCCCCAGCCAUCUCACUCUCUCCUCAAAGCCUGGAGAGGUCGGGAGCAUCCUCUCCACAGAAUUAAACAUAAAAUGGGACAGCUUCAUUAAAAACUACUUCAGAUCACUGGGAAAGGACCAAAGGCAAAAAACAACUCACGACAUUUGUUAUAUUUCCUGCUAAUCCUUCGUUACAUUCACAAAUAAACAAUGUGAGCUUGCUUCACUCUACAUAAAUGAGACCCUCCUAAAUGUGCUGUCCUGAAAUUCUUUUGCUUCCCAUUACGUACUGACAAGACUUCUGUGUUGGAACCCAUAGACCUCUAUUGACCUUUCUUAAUUGUUCCAUGGCAUUGAACAAUUGGGUGUACCACCAUUUAUUGGGUCAUUUCCCUAUUGAUUUAAGGUUGUUUUUUAACAUUUCCUUAUUACAAACAAUCCUGUAAUGAACACCGUGGACUAUCUUGGUGAACAUAUGCAAGAAUUUCUGCAUAUGACUAGAUACCUAAAAGUGAAACUCCUAGUCAAAGAUUGUGCUAAUAUUAAAUUUUGGAGGACAGUGCCAAAUUCUGUCAAAAAGGCAGAACUAUUUUUAAAAUGAUUAAACCUUUGAGAACCAAUCCUAAAUGUUAGCACUAGAAGGGUUCUUAAGAUUGCCCAAACACCUUUGCAUUUUAG